GAUGAACGCUGGCGGCGUGCUUAACACAUGCAAGUCGAACGAAGCACCUUGAUUCGAUUCUUCGGAUGAAGAUCUUGGUGACUGAGUGGCGGACGGGUGAGUAACGCGUGGGUAACCUGCCUCAUACAGGGGGAUAACAGUUAGAAAUGACUGCUAAUACCGCAUAAGACCACAGCACCGCAUGGUGCAGGGGUAAAAACUCCGGUGGUAUGAGAUGGACCCGCGUCUGAUUAGGUAGUUGGUGGGGUAACGGCCUACCAAGCCGACGAUCAGUAGCCGACCUGAGAGGGUGACCGGCCACAUUGGGACUGAGACACGGCCCAAACUCCUACGGGAGGCAGCAGUGGGGAAUAUUGCACAAUGGGGGAAACCCUGAUGCAGCGACGCCGCGUGAGCGAUGAAGUAUUUCGGUAUGUAAAGCUCUAUCAGCAGGGAAGAAAAUGAUGGUACCUGACGAAGAAGCACCGGCUAAAUACGUG
This 479-nucleotide ribosomal RNA is filed under the name uncultured bacterium. RNAcentral's name for it is "partial 16S ribosomal RNA". It matches the Rfam family "Bacterial small subunit ribosomal RNA", at positions 28 to 507 of the family's 1533-position model. The record is from RNAcentral.